AUUCACGCUGGCGGCGUGCCUCAUCCCUGCCAGUCGAGCGAACGGACGAGAAGCUUGCUUCUCUGAUGUUAGCGGCGGACGGGUGAGUAACACGUGGAUAACCUACCUAUAAGACUGGGAUAACUUCGGGAAACCGGAGCUAAUACCGGAUGAUAUUUUGAACCGCAUGGUUCAAAAGUGAAAGACGGUCUUGCUGUCACUUAUAGAUGGAUCCGCGCUGCAUUAGCUAGUUGGUAAGGUAACGGCUUACCAAGGCAACGAUGCAUAGCCGACCUGAGAGGGUGAUCGGCCACACUGGAACUGAGACACGGUCCAGACUCCUACGGGAGGCAGCAGUAGGGAAUCUUCCGCAAUGGGCGAAAGCCUGACGGAGCAACGCCGCGUGAGUGAUGAAGGUCUUCGGAUCGUAAAACUCUGUUAUUAGGGAAGAACAUAUGUGUAAGUAACUGUGCACAUCUUGACGGUACCUAAUCAGAAAGCCACGGCUAACUACGUG
RNAcentral lists this ribosomal RNA (496 nucleotides) under uncultured bacterium. Its description in RNAcentral is "partial 16S ribosomal RNA". It matches the Rfam family "Bacterial small subunit ribosomal RNA", at positions 33 to 507 of the family's 1533-position model. The record is from RNAcentral.